RNAcentral lists this ribosomal RNA (232 nucleotides) under uncultured bacterium. RNAcentral describes it as "partial 16S ribosomal RNA". It matches the Rfam family "Bacterial small subunit ribosomal RNA", at positions 99 to 334 of the family's 1533-position model. The record is from RNAcentral.
CGGACGGGUGAGUAAUGUCUGGGAAACUGCCUGGUGGAGGGGGAUAACCACUGGAAACGGUAGCUAAUACCGCAUAACGUCGCAAGACCAAAGAGGGGGACCUUCGGGCCUCUUGCCAUCGGAUGUGCCCAGAUGGGAUUAGCUAGUAGGUGGGGUAACGGCUCACCUAGGCGACGAUCCCUAGCUGGUCUGAGAGGAUGACCAGCCACACUGGAACUGAGACACGGUCCAG